CUUGGAGGGCUAGGUUUGCCACUUUUCUGGACUUUUUACAAUUUUUAAUGCCACCGACUACUACCUACUGGACGCAUGUGGUACACCGGCCACGAUGCUAACCAUACAAUUACAGCGUUCACUCAACGUGAAUGUAUUGAACGAUUCCUACGUAGCAGUGAGCACUUUGGGUCCCUAACCAGGUCCCAGGUACCUAUCCCCAUUUUAUCUAUGGCGAAACUGAGGUUCACGUUGAUCAAGUCACUGGUCCCAAGAUCAUGCGACUAGAACGUGGGCGCUUCCUAUUCUGUUUCACCUUUGUCUUUUUAACCUCUCUUUUAGGAUUCCUUUGAUGGGAGCAGAGAAAUUGUUACCACAUUUUCCACAAUUUGUCCACCGCUUCCCACCCUCCAACUUGGUCUGCUAUUCUCCCCUUCCCAGAAAGUUUAGCGCACUUCGCAAGGCCGCGUUAUGACUUUCGUGGAACCGCGACACAUUGGCCUUGUGUUUGUGGAGGUGGGUAGAUAGUCCUAGAUUGGAGCGCGGCAAAGAAAUGUUCAUCAUCGGCAUGUGGUGUAAAUGACACAAGUUGGCGGUCAGCUGGAAGAUACAGCAAAUGUCCAAGGGGCUACCCGUUCCUAGGGAGAGAGAAUUGGGAUCACUCCAGAAUUCCUCGAAGUGGACUAGCUGGGUUCAAGGAUGUGUGCAUUUUACCCUCAAUAAAUGUGGCCAACAUGCCCUCCUCCAAAAAGCGGAAUCAAUUUACACUCCCAUUAGCAGCCAGCUUAGCAGAGUUUAUUUUCCCACAUCUUUGCCAACAGUGAGUAAGUACAUCAAUCUUUUCAGUGUUUGCCUGAUAGAUUAAAAAAAAAAAAAAAAAAAAGAUUUCUUGGUGUUAUUUUAAUUAACACUUCUUCUUAAGGCAAGAAUUUUUCAGGACUCUUUUAGAUGUAUAAUUGUCAAUGCCAGAGAUUACUUUGUACCCUCUCUCUUGGCCCUGUAGGGCAGAUAUUUAAACUCAGAGCAAGGUGCCCAGUGGGGAAAGGAACUGUGCAAGGCCAUCCUGUGAGUUAGGGGCAGAACUGGGGCUCUCCUCAGAGUGUUCUGAAUUCUUUCAGAAAUAAAUAGAGCCUUUCUUUUGAGCCUCUCUGACACAAGUGUUGUUUUUAGUCUGAAUACCAGAGGGAGUAACGGGGACCCAUCAGAAGUAAGCCCUUUGGAUUAGUCCAUCAGUGGAGGUGAUAUAAUUAGCUAGGCCAUGUGAAAAAGAGAAAACUGAAUUGCUACCUUAUCACCAAUGGACCAAACACUUAAAUGUUUAAAAAAAAAUUUUUUUAAGAUAAAAUCAAUAAAUAAGUAGAAUUUAGGAAAAAUAUGAGUAAAUCAGUUCUAUGAUUUAUAAAACAAGUCAUAAAGGUUUAACAAAUUUGACUACUAAAUGCUUUAAAACAUGUGGCAAAACCUCCACAAAUGAGUUUGAAAGACAAAAGGAUACUGUGCACAAGAUCCCACUUGUUAAAACAAAAAACACACAUCAGAAAUUACUUAGGCACAUACCAAUUGU
Panthera uncia (snow leopard) is the source of this 1543-nucleotide long non-coding RNA. RefSeq lists it as uncharacterized. The transcript is spliced from 3 exons. The record is from RefSeq and is a predicted model, not a curated record. NCBI's taxonomy places the organism in Eukaryota, Metazoa, Chordata, Mammalia, Carnivora, Felidae.